Molecule: transfer RNA, 74 nt
Filed under: Stegodyphus mimosarum
Lineage: Eukaryota; Metazoa; Arthropoda; Arachnida; Araneae; Eresidae
Rfam family: tRNA
About the family: Transfer RNA (tRNA) molecules are approximately 80 nucleotides in length. Their secondary structure includes four short double-helical elements and three loops (D, anti-codon, and T loops).
Source: Rfam by way of RNAcentral
ACCUUCGUGGUGUAAUGGUUCAGCACACUCGGCCCGUAUUCGAGUGGUCCGAGGUUCGAGUCCCGGGGAGGGCA